GAGUUGAUUCGAGCUCCGGCUCGACUCUCCCACCCCAUGUGUACCUACCUCUGUUGCUUUGGCGGGCCGCGGUCCUCCGCACCGACCCCCGUUCGGGGGCCGGCCAGCGCCCGCCAGAGGACCACAAAACUCCAGUCAGUAAACGUCGCAGUCUGAGAAACAAGUUAAUAAACUAAAACUUUCAACAACGGAUCUCUUGGUUCUGGCAUCGAUGAAGAACGCAGCGAAAUGCGAUAAGUAAUGUGAAUUGCAGAAUUCAGUGAAUCAUCGAAUCUUUGAACGCACAUUGCGCCCCUUGGUAUUCCGAGGGGCAUGCCUGUUCGAGCGUCAUUUCAACCCUCAAGCUCUGCUUGGUAUUGGGCUCCGUCCUCCGCGGACGCGCCUCGAAGACCUCGGCGGUGGCGUCUUGCCUCAAGCGUAGUAGAAAACACCUCGCUUUGGAGCGCACGGCGUCGCCCGCCGGACGAACCUUUGAAUUUUUCUCAAGGUUGACCUCGGAUCAGGUAGGGAUACCCGCUGAACUUAAGCAUAUCAAUAAGCGGAGGA
RNAcentral lists this ribosomal RNA (546 nucleotides) under Neofusicoccum australe. RNAcentral describes it as "eukaryotic LSU rRNA". The stretch from base 177 to 330 matches the Rfam family "5.8S ribosomal RNA". The record is from RNAcentral. Lineage: Eukaryota; Fungi; Ascomycota; Dothideomycetes; Botryosphaeriales; Botryosphaeriaceae.